ACCCCAGUAGUGUAAUGGAUCAGCGCUGCAGAACGGAUACCUGUAAGUGCGGGUUCGAGUCACGCCUGAGGUU
Molecule: transfer RNA, 73 nt
Filed under: Dictyocaulus viviparus (bovine lungworm)
Lineage: Eukaryota; Metazoa; Nematoda; Chromadorea; Rhabditida; Metastrongylidae
Rfam family: tRNA
About the family: Transfer RNA (tRNA) molecules are approximately 80 nucleotides in length. Their secondary structure includes four short double-helical elements and three loops (D, anti-codon, and T loops). Further hydrogen bonds mediate the characteristic L-shaped molecular structure. tRNAs have two regions of fundamental functional importance: the anti-codon, which is responsible for specific mRNA codon recognition, and the 3' end, to which the tRNAs corresponding amino acid is attached (by aminoacyl-tRNA synthetases). tRNAs cope with the degeneracy of the genetic code in two manners: having more than one tRNA (with a specific anti-codon) for a particular amino acid; and 'wobble' base-pairing, i.e. permitting non-standard base-pairing at the 3rd anti-codon position.
Source: Rfam by way of RNAcentral